GAUGAACGCUGGCGGCGUGCUUAACACAUGCAAGUCGAACGAUGAAGCCCAGCUUGCUGGGUGGAGUAGUGGCGAACGGGUGAGUAACACGUGAGUAACCUGCCCUUAACUCUGGGAUAAGCCUGGGAAACUGGGUCUAAUACAGGAUAGGAGCGUCCACCGCAUGGUGGGUGUUGGAAUGAUUUAUCGGUUUUGGAUGGACUCGCGGCUUAUCAGCUUGUUGGGGAGGUAAUGGCUCACCAAGGCGACGGCGGGUAGCCGGCCUGAGAGGGUGACCGGCCACACUGGUACUGCGAGACGGCCCAGACGCCUACGGGAGGCAGCGGGGGGGAGUAUUGCACAAUGGGCGCGAGUCAGAUGCAGCGACGCCGCGUGCGGAAUGACCGCCUUCGGGUGAUAAACCUCUUUGAGUAGGGAAGAAGCGAUAGUGACGGUACCUGCAGAAGAAGCACCGGCUAACUACGUG
RNAcentral lists this ribosomal RNA (466 nucleotides) under uncultured bacterium. Its description in RNAcentral is "partial 16S ribosomal RNA". It matches the Rfam family "Bacterial small subunit ribosomal RNA", at positions 28 to 507 of the family's 1533-position model. The record is from RNAcentral.